UACAGAAGCAUAGAUUUCCACA
Molecule: microRNA, 22 nt
Filed under: Caenorhabditis elegans
Lineage: Eukaryota; Metazoa; Nematoda; Chromadorea; Rhabditida; Rhabditidae
Description: cel-miR-254-5p
Gene: cel-miR-254-5p
Source: miRBase by way of RNAcentral